RNAcentral lists this unclassified non-coding RNA (200 nucleotides) under soil metagenome. RNAcentral describes it as "partial contains internal transcribed spacer 2 and large subunit ribosomal RNA". The record is from RNAcentral.
GUGGGCUUGGAUAAUGGCUGCUUGUCGGAUCCUAACCAGACCGGCUCGGCUGAAAUACACAAGCGACCCAACUGAAAGAGACGGCUUGACUCGGCGUAAUAACUAUUAUCGCUGAGGACGUCCCCUUCUCCGUGGCGCUUCUAAUGCACAUCAUUUAAGCUUUAGACCUCAAAUCAGGCAGGACUACCCGCUGAACUUAA